Herpailurus yagouaroundi (jaguarundi) is the source of this 1179-nucleotide long non-coding RNA. RefSeq lists it as uncharacterized. The record is from RefSeq and is a predicted model, not a curated record. The transcript is spliced from 2 exons. Lineage: Eukaryota; Metazoa; Chordata; Mammalia; Carnivora; Felidae.
GUAGGUCGUUUCUCUGUGCGCACCUGCUAAAUGUGGACAGGGGUCCCCGGUUGCCCCGCGAGUCAUGGCAACUUACGCUCUCGCCUCCGUGCCUGCCUUUUACAGAUCCACCUCCCGUGUCUCCAAACCUGUUGGGGUUAGUUCACCAGUCCGAGCGGUAGAAGAUGGUGUCUUGCUGUGGCUUGUUUGAGUGGACUUCAGUAUCUUUUCCUGUCCAUUUUAUCGUGGCAAGCAAGUGCGUGGGUACCAGCCAGGAUCGGGGGCUUCAUCACCAUGCGGUGUGAUGGUGCCCACCGAGGGGCACCCCAGGCACUCUGGCAUCACAAACGCCUUCUGGGUUGAGACUUUCCAGGGAGGGUGACACGUGAGCUGGCCCUUAAAGUUGACCAAGUCAAGCAAAGGAAGGAAGGACAUUCCAGGCAGAGAGAACAGAGACCACUUCCUAUGAGGGGGACGCGAGGCUGAGCGUGGAAAUGAAGGUUAAAAGUAAGGUGGACCCUAAGGGCCUCAUUGGCCUUGCCGAGGAGUGUCUUUUGAUCCUGUAAGGGUCAGAAUGCCAAUGAGACACCAAGAUAUAUUUUGGAAGCAAUCCCCGUUGACACAGUGCUAGGGCCAGGCACCCGUGCUAAGCUCUUCGCCUGGAUUAGUCUGUGCGUCCUCUCACUAGCCUGAUAAGGUGGUACAAUUAUCCUCCCUGCUUACACACGUCCUGCCUCAUUUAUUAAUAGCACCAUCAUUCUCGCUGCUUACCAGAAGAGGAAACAGAGGCUUAGAGGUUAAAGAACGAGGGUAAGGUCCCCAUACUCCCAAGUGGCUACAAGGGCUUCAAGCCCUGCUCCUUCCCAACCUCUGUCUGCCCCCUCUGGGAGCCGCAGGCUGGGCUCUUUCCUGGAAGGGUGGAGCCUGAAGGGGACGAGAACCUUCUCAGGGAGCAGAGGCAGCUCCAGGACACCAGGCCCCCUCCCAACUUGCGGCCUGUGGUUCCCGCCGUCUAAGUUGCCUUUCAGCGAUCUCCGUGCGCAUCAAGCAAAUCCAGACACGCGUCUUUCCCUUUUUCACACAGAUGUUGGCAUGCUGCAUCCACUUUUCUGCAUUUGUUCCCCACCCCCAUUUAAUAUCUCUUGGAAUUCGUUCCGUAUCGGUUCAUAAAGAGUGUCCUUGUUGGUUUUGAUGGCUGUA